GGGAAUGUUUUGGUUUCGACAGGAUAAAAAGAUUAUUAUUGGCAAGUAAGCGGGAGCUUUAAAAUCCAACUUAAAAAUAAUCGGAAACGAUAAUUACGCAUUAGCUGCCUAAGAUAGCGGCUCAUCUCUUUUGGGAACGCCAUUUUUCCAUUAGAUGAUGUCAUUUUUAAUGGCUUACUCAAAUGUAUGAUUAUGUCAUUUGGGGAAACCUUAUAAUCUCGCCUUUAGACUUUUGUCUGUUUAAUAUCUAACGGUUAAAGCGUUAAAUAGACUAAACUUGUAGAAGAUAGUAAGAACUUUUUAUUUUGGACACGGGUUCGAUUCCCGUCAUUUCCACCA
Molecule: non-coding RNA, 339 nt
Organism: Leptotrichia hofstadii F0254
Lineage: Bacteria; Fusobacteriati; Fusobacteriota; Fusobacteriia; Fusobacteriales; Leptotrichiaceae
Rfam family: transfer-messenger RNA
About the family: Bacterial tmRNA, also known as 10Sa RNA or SsrA, is named for its dual tRNA and mRNA-like properties. Its role is to liberate the mRNA from a stalled ribosome. To accomplish this part of the tmRNA is used as a reading frame that ends in a translation stop signal.
Source: Rfam